This 21-nucleotide microRNA is filed under the name Malus domestica (apple). RNAcentral's name for it is "mdm-miR7121d". Lineage: Eukaryota; Viridiplantae; Streptophyta; Magnoliopsida; Rosales; Rosaceae. The record is from miRBase by way of RNAcentral.
UCCUCUUGGUGAUCGCCCUGC